Molecule: signal recognition particle RNA, 283 nt
Filed under: Saimiri boliviensis boliviensis (Bolivian squirrel monkey)
Lineage: Eukaryota; Metazoa; Chordata; Mammalia; Primates; Cebidae
Description: Metazoan signal recognition particle RNA (ENSSBOG00000008438.1)
Rfam family: Metazoan signal recognition particle RNA
About the family: The signal recognition particle (SRP) is a universally conserved ribonucleoprotein. It is involved in the co-translational targeting of proteins to membranes. The eukaryotic SRP consists of a 300-nucleotide 7S RNA and six proteins: SRPs 72, 68, 54, 19, 14, and 9.
Source: RNAcentral
GCUGGGUGAGGUGGCACAUGCCUGUAGUCCCAGCUACUCGAGAAGCCGAGGCUGGAGAGGAGUUCUGGGCAGUAGCAUGCUAUGCCGAUAGAAUAUCCGCACUUAGUUUGUUAUCAAUAUGGUGACCUCCCGAGAACGGGGUGUCACCAGGUUGCCUAAGGAGGGUUGAACCUGCUCAGGUCGGAAGCGGAGCAGGUCAAAACUCCCGGGCUGAUGAGUAGUGGGAUCGAGCCCAUGCAUAGCUACUGCACUCCAGCCUGAGCAACAGUGAGGCCCUGUCUCU